Rattus norvegicus (Norway rat) is the source of this 4692-nucleotide long non-coding RNA. RefSeq lists it as uncharacterized. Lineage: Eukaryota; Metazoa; Chordata; Mammalia; Rodentia; Muridae. The record is from RefSeq and is a predicted model, not a curated record.
AGGCUGAAAGCAGAGAAGUACAGAAGCUGACUCUUGGAGAAGAUUCCCUGACCGAAAAGGCACCACGCUCAUCCAGACCCGAGGGUUCUAGGAAAUGUCCCAGGCUGGACCAGAACAAUCCAGGAAUAGCUUGGAGCAGGGAUCCAGGCUUGGUUAUGAGGGCUCAGACUGCGAUGAGAAUCCAGGGUUCAGGCUGAGGUGGGGAUUAGAACUUGUCCAAUAGCAGAGACGGAGGCUCAGCUUGAGAGGGAGACGUGAGGUAAGCCUGAGGUGGUUAUCUUGGCUCUGGUUUAGGUAAAAAUGAAGGCUCAUCCUGAGGUGGUCACUUGCCCUUGUCCUGACAUGGAGACUCAUAUCCAAAACAGGACAGAGAUAUAGAUUCAGCUUGCAAGAUGGACAUAGCCUUAAUUUGAGGUAGGAGUUUGGGUUCAAGCAAGGUAUCCAAGGUCAGUUUGAGGUGACGCCUAGCCAUAAGCUGUGGCAGAGCCUCAGGUUCAGGAUGGGAAGAAACUCAAGGUCUGCUUAGGGUAGGAACCAGCAUUUGCCAAGGAAGAAAUCAAGAGUUCAGCCUGCACAGGAGAUCCAAACUUGAGCUAUACAGCCCUUCAGGAGAUCAGUGGUCACCGAGUGCCCCACAGUCAAGCCCCGAGACCUGCAGGGAAGUGGCUAAGCUCUGCCUCGUGACAGUGAGGUGUUAGUAAGAAGUAUUAAGCAACACCUUUUUUAUCAGGGUUGGCCUACUGCCUGUUCUCAAAAUAGCCGCCUGCUAUGUUUCGGGGCUGAUCUGGGGAGCAGCCAGCCGUGUACUUACACUGAAGGGUCAGCUAGGAAGAGGUGAUGGGGCAGGGUCUGCUUACCUGAGGUAGGAGAUGACGCCCAUGGCCCUGCAAGAAUGAAAACACCACGUUUGUGAGUCACACCAGGCCUGUCCCACAGGCAAGGGGUACGCAUGUGGGGGUUGGAGAAGCCUGGGGCUGGAAGAGGAGGCAGAGGCUCAGAGGCUCCUCAGCUGCCAGGCAGACACACAUGGAGGACAGAGAGGUUCCAGAUCAACAGCCCUCCUGGUGGGCCAUCCACUCACCAGAUGUCUGAGCCCUCACUCACAGGACUCUGCUCGAUGAUCUCUGGGGACACGAAUUCAGGUGUAGACACCGGCAUCGUGUGGAGUCACGUCCAUCAACACCAAGGAAUAUGUAGUUCCACCUUGCUGCUGCCUCAGCCGGGUACCGUUCACCAGCUGGUUGCUGUCCUGGACAAACAGGGCUACCAUCAGCCUAUCCUGGGAUGUGCCAGCCCCCGACUCACACACGCUUCCUGGAGCAGCACUUCCAAUACCUGCUGUGUGCCCAGCCCCAGGGGCAGGCCAGAAGUGGGAUAGGAAGGUACUGAAUUGGGCUGCAGGGGGGGCUUUGGAGUGGGGGGUUGCAGGUUGCAUGAUGGGGUGCAUGAGCCCCAUUCCACACGUCCACUUAAUCUCACCCAUGCCCUCCAGCUCCUGAAGCCUGUCCCCUCCCCCUGCUGCCUGGGCCUACUCCUCCUACCUUGUACCAGGUCACUGUUGGCGGUGGGUUGCCUUCAAUGACAGCAUCAAACUGUGCCAUGUCACCCACUUGUACUUGUAGGUCCUCGAUAGUGACCUGCAUGGAUGGGGCCCCUGGGAGAGGUGGGAAGAGAGCCUGUGUGGAGGGACCCUCGGGAAUUCAUAGCCCUGGGUGCACAGCCCACUUAGGUGUACAUCUGUGGUCAGUAAAGCCUUGACUUAUGUCCCUUCAGCCAGAAAGUCCACCUCCUUCCCUGGUGACAGUGACCCCAGCCUCACUGUCUAGGCCCCUAGCAGUUGUGAAGUGCUUCCCACAGUACAGCCCCUGUUCUUCCUGCUCUAACUUGAGCUAGCCAAGCAAUCACACAGACAUCCAGCCAAAGAAGGCAGAGCGCUCAUCUCCACUCUCUAGUACAGAGCCUGCAGCUACCACAUCUGCUGCUGUUUGACUCUUCCCAGAGGGGUCUAGAACCUCCAAGGGGACACAGGGAGAAUAAAGGGGGAGACAUGGACUGAGGCAUCGUGCCUUGUGACUUAAUCAGGUGCUCACAAAGUGCCCCCAGUGCCCGGCAUGGGUGUACCCCCGUCAGGCUGGCCCACUUCCAUACUUGUGACACCUGUGUCAGGAGCUUGGCACACAUAGGUCCUCUGUGUGGUCUCCAUGAUGACUUGGCUGUGCACAUCCAAGAGCAGCUGCCCAGUGCCUCCGCCUGGCCAGGCCGUGCCCUCCACCCUGGAGUCAAGACAGGGUGGUCUCUGCUCACGGAAGCACCUUGGACCUCUCUGGGACCUGAGCCCCAGGAUAGGAUGAGGACCCUACCAUCUCUACUUGUGGGGUUAGAUGUGUGCAUAGAGGACCCCGGCUUCUCCCCAGAACCUUGUGCUCUAGGGCGAGUCCCUCUUCCCUCCCCUGCCCACCAGCUUGGGCUGGGGCCUGUAAGAAGUGUGCUGAAGAGCUUUUAAGUCUAUCCCGCUAAUCUUCAAGCCCAUGAGGCCAGAGCAAGUGGGUUCUGCACUGCCUGCCCUGGGGGUGUCCCUUGGAGGGCAGUUUUGCACAUGACCCAUCUGGCUCAGGAGGUUACCGAAUGGGUACAUUCCGUUCCUGGGAUCCAGAAGUUGUUGUCAUCCCCUGCUCCAGGCCUUUGUAUGUGCCGGGCCGUGAAGCCUCUGGGAGUUUGCCUGAUAGAAAAUAGGGAACCUAGUGAGUUAAGUCCUGACUGGGGUGGGAAGGACAUUCAGACAUUCUUUAACAAGCAUGGGUUCCCCAUAUGACCAGUGUGGGGUAGAUUGCAAAAUCGAGCAGCUCCAGGGCCAGGAUGAAAACCCGGAGUGAGAACCAGGCAGUCCUGGGCCACCACAACCUAGUACCAUAUGCUGGCAGCCUUGCUAAAGCCAGAUACGAGACCUCUCCAGUUUCCCUCCACGGCAACAAGCCUGGUACCCCAGCCCACCAGCCAGGCUGUCAUUGAGAUGUAGAAGUUCUGCCCCCUAGGACCUGUAUAUCCAGCCAAGCUGAAGUUACGGUGACAUGAUAGCAGGACACGGGUGGCAGUGUGGGAUUUAGCUGAGUGGACAGAUGACACAUCUGGGGAAACUGAAACUCCGAAUGGAAGCGAGCAUCUCUGGGUCCUUGUACAUGCACAGUGGGCCCAGUUCACAGAUUGGGAAACCGAGGUCAAGUUAAAGGCGAGCCACAGCCAGGCAAAGUACAUGAUGACACAUAAAGCCACAAAGACACCAAGGUGCCCCAGAGCUCUGCAAGCUUGUAAUCAUGGCAUGGGCAAUCAAGGUGACCCUUUGGAUCACAUGGCCUGGGAUGGGGUGGGGUUAGCAAAGGAGAGGAGGAAUCUUUGUGGUCAGCUCCCUACCAGGCCUUACCAGGUGUUCCUGAAGUUGUGCCUGGGAUCUGGGGAGCAGCCUCUUCUGAUGUGGGUGGCUCACUUUGUCUGGUGUUGGGGAAACCCCCUGGGGAGGGGCUGAGGGCUUCUGAGCCCAGCAGCCUCCAAAGGACAGAAGCGGCUUGUUGGUCAGCUCCCUCCUGAGUGGGGUGGGCAGAGUCCUCCAUGGAGGCGUCUGUGGACAGGAGGGUGGGAAUACAAAGUAAGUCUGGACGGGGCAUCGGAAUCCCUGGCACAGGCUCGGAGUGCCCGCCCCAGUUCUCAGAGAUUGCCUUCUUGCACCUGACUUGCUGCUACCCACUGUUUCUUGCUUGGGAAGCCACCUGGACGGGGAGGUUCAGGAGGAUAUGAAACGUUGAGGAGCACCUAAAUGGUCUAAGUUCAGACAAAGCCAGUGUCCUUACCCAGUUCCUAGUGAGCAGCCCCCAGCACUCCUCUAAACCUCUCCUGGGUGGCUGUGGAGCCUGUACUUCCCCUGUGCCUCUUUUCAGACCUGGAUACCUACGUGGGGGCCCAACACACAUGCCCCAGCACUGCUGACCACCCCUUUGCCAAUAAACCCCCUCCUUGCCCAGAUCCUCCCCAAUAUGUGGGGAUGAGGCAUUUCUGACAUCCCCAGACACAACCUGGACAGCUGUCCUCUACCCUACCAGGCCAGAAGCCCCCUUAGAACAGGCCCCACGGCUAGAGGUUUCCUGGGGCCCCACUCCCUCGCAGACAAGUGCUAGUGUCCUGGGCCGCCACCUCUGCAGAUGGUGAGAUUGACCCCUAUACACCAAGAGCUUAGGAAAUGAGGGUCACCCACUCUCACUCCCGACUCCCAUUUGUCCUACAAUGACCUCAGCUAUCCAGGGAUUAGGAAGGCCUGCUCGGAUCCUAACAGGCCAAAAGUGAUUGUCAUGGCUGCUCUGGUUACAUUGUGAAUCCCAAAGACCAGCUCUAAAGACGGUCAAGGACCAAUUCAAAUCCUGUCCUUCAUCUACCUGUUAUGGUCUGUAUAUGCUCAGCCAAGGGAGUGGCACUAUUUGAAGGUGUGGCCUUGUUGGAGUAGGUGUGUCACUGUGGGUAGGGGCUUUGAGACCUUCAUCCUAACUGCCUGGAAGCCAGUCUUCUGAUAGCAGCCUUCAGACGAAGACGUGGAACUCUCAGCUCCUCCUGUACCAUGCCUGCCUGGAUGCUGCCAUGUUCCCACCUUGAUGAGAAUGGACUGAAUCUGAGAACCUGUAAGCCAGGCCCAAUGAAAUGUUGUCCUUA